RNAcentral lists this transfer RNA (74 nucleotides) under Perkinsus olseni. Its description in RNAcentral is "tRNA-Val". It matches the Rfam family "tRNA". Rfam says of the family: Transfer RNA (tRNA) molecules are approximately 80 nucleotides in length. Their secondary structure includes four short double-helical elements and three loops (D, anti-codon, and T loops). Further hydrogen bonds mediate the characteristic L-shaped molecular structure. tRNAs have two regions of fundamental functional importance: the anti-codon, which is responsible for specific mRNA codon recognition, and the 3' end, to which the tRNAs corresponding amino acid is attached (by aminoacyl-tRNA synthetases). tRNAs cope with the degeneracy of the genetic code in two manners: having more than one tRNA (with a specific anti-codon) for a particular amino acid; and 'wobble' base-pairing, i.e. permitting non-standard base-pairing at the 3rd anti-codon position. Lineage: Eukaryota; Perkinsozoa; Perkinsida; Perkinsidae. The record is from RNAcentral.
GCUGGAAUGGUCUAGUUGGUUAUGACGACUGCCUAACACGCAGUAGGUCACGAGUUCGACUCUCGGUCCCAGUA